Molecule: ribosomal RNA, 384 nt
Filed under: uncultured bacterium
Lineage: Bacteria
Description: bacterial SSU rRNA
Rfam family: Bacterial small subunit ribosomal RNA
Source: RNAcentral
GACGAACGCUGGCGGCGUGCUUAACGCAUGCAAGUCGAGCGGUAAGGCCCUUUCGGGGGUACACGAGCGGCGAACGGGUGAGUAACACGUGGGUGACCUGCCCUUAGCUCUGGGAUAAGCCUGGGAAACUGGGUCUAAUACCGGAUAUGACUCCAUAACGCAUGUUGUGGGGUGGAAAGCCUUGUGCGGCUAGGGAUGGGCCCGCGGCCUAUCAGCUUGUUGGUGGGGUGAUGGCCUACCAAGGCGACGACGGGUAGCCGGCCUGAGAGGGCGACCGGCCACACUGGGACUGAGACACGGCCCAGACUCCUACGGGAGGCAGCAGUGGGGAAUCUUGCGCAAUGGGCGAAAGCCUGACGCAGCGACGCCGCGUGGGGAUGACGG